Molecule: ribosomal RNA, 506 nt
Filed under: uncultured bacterium
Lineage: Bacteria
Description: partial 16S ribosomal RNA
Rfam family: Bacterial small subunit ribosomal RNA
Source: RNAcentral
GAUGAACGCUAGCUACAGGCUUAACACAUGCAAGUCGAGGGGUAACGAGAGGAAAGCUUGCUUUCCUUGUCGACGACCGGCGCACGGGUGAGUAACGCGUAUCCAACCUGCCCCCAACUAGGGAAUAACCUUGCGAAAGUAAGACUAAUACCCUAUAAUUUCCUCAGAUGCCAUCUGACGAGGAAUAAAGAUUUAUCGGUUGUGGAUGGGGAUGCGUCUGAUUGGUUUGUUGGCGGGGUAACGGCCAACCAAGGCAACGAUCAGUAGGGGUUCUGAGAGGAAGGUCCCCCAAAUUGGAACUGAGACACGGUCCAAACUCCUACGGGAGGCAGCAGUGAGGAAUAUUGGUCAAUGGGCGGAAGCCUGAACCAGCCAAGUAGCGUGCAGGAUGACGGCCCUAUGGGUUGUAAACUGCUUUUAUACAGGAAUAAAGUUAGCCACGUGUGGUUAUUUGUAGGUACUGUAUGAAUAAGGACCGGCUAAUUCCGUGCCAGCCGCCGCCGUAA